RNAcentral lists this ribosomal RNA (496 nucleotides) under uncultured bacterium. RNAcentral's name for it is "bacterial SSU rRNA". It matches the Rfam family "Bacterial small subunit ribosomal RNA", at positions 15 to 518 of the family's 1533-position model. The record is from RNAcentral.
GAUCCUGGCUUAGGAUGAACGCUGGCGGCGUGCUUAACACAUGCAAGUCGAACGGGGUUACGAGAAGCUUGCUUUUGUAAACCUAGUGGCGGACGGGUGAGUAACGCGUGAGUAACCUGCCUUAGACUGGGGGAUAACACUUAGAAAUAGGUGCUAAUACCGCAUAAGCGCACAGUAUCGCAUGAUACAGUGUGAAAAACUCCGGUGGUCUAAAGAUGGACUCGCGUCUGAUUAGCUAGUUGGUGAGGUAACGGCCCACCAAGGCGACGAUCAGUAGCCGGCCUGAGAGGGUGAGCGGCCACAUUGGGACUGAGACACGGCCCAAACUCCUACGGGAGGCAGCAGUGAGGAAUAUUGGGCAAUGGGCGAAAAAGCCUGACCCAGCAACGCCGCGUGAAGGAAGAAGGUUUUAGGAUUGUAAACUUCUGUUGUAAGGGACGAAGGAAGUGACGGUACCAUAGGAGGAAGCCCCGGCUAACUACGUGCCAGCAGCCGC